CCACCUCGUCCCUCUUCGCCAACCGGAGCGAGUCCUCUAAUUCUUCGUCUCGAAUAGAUCCCUCGGCUAAACAGAACGCGACGCCCCCAGAUCUCACGAUGAUGUCCCCAAAACCUCCCAUGUCCGAUGCCCGAGCUGCUCGCUCGACGUCUUCCAGUUCCAGGCACACUCCCUUGCAGAUAAUACAUGUUAUUGGGAACUUUAUGAGAAUAUGGUCUGUUUACUCCUUGUAUCACUAUCUAUCGCAUCAAGGAGAUAGUGUAGUAGCUUUUAUUUUCAGUUGCUUGGUUCCAGCUUCUAUUAUUUUCCUGGUGCUGCAAAAGCCUUGGAAAGGGAGGCCUUUACCCAAUUCACAGAUAAUACCGACUGUCAUUAAUGGAGGAAUAAUGGCAUUAUAUUUCAUAUUAUGGGGAAAAGGACUUUUAUCAUGUGGACCACUAAUUGCUCUACUGGCCGAGUAUGCAGGUGCUGUUCUUGGGGUCUUAUCUGCAGCAUUAUAUGGACGGCAAGUCCAUAUUUGGAAAAAGGUGGGUGGACUCAUUGCAAUGCUAGCUUCCUACUACUUCUUGUCAAAAGGAUGGGCUACAAGAACAAACUCACCAUUUUAUAGCUUUGGCAAAGAACCACUCGUGCAAGCAAAACAAUCUUUAGGAUUUAAAGAAAUGGCAGUACCCAUGUCUGCUGGAAUUUUAUCAGCUUUGAGACGGGUGAUUGCUCGCCGUGUGUCACUCAAGAAUCAACUUAAAAGGCGACUUCAUGCAAUAUGUAUUGCUUCUGCGACGUGCUUUCUUUUUCCUCUUGCCAUGUGGGACACAAUCUUAGGAUCAACAUCUGAUAGCAUUAUUAAGUUUCAGCUUCCAAGUUGGGCAUACUUGAGUACUGUCUUCUUUGGAAUCAUCUUUGUAUUCUAUGCCGACAACAUUGCGGAAGAAAGAUUGCAUCUUGUUUUCUCUUCUCCACGGCAUCUCAUGAUUUCAGGAGGGUCUAUCAUCCUUAUGGAGAUCUUAUACCAAAUGGAUUUUUCCCUAAUAGGUUUCGUGACUUGCUCUUUAAUAUUGGGAUUUGGUAUUUUUGAAGCAACCUCUUUGGGAAGAUCAAGAAGAGGUCCUUUAGAAUCUCAAGAUGCUUCAGAGGAGGCUUUUCAGAACCAACUGCAGAUGUCUUCACUUCCUAGCUGAUACCUAACCUUUAGAUGAGCUGGUCCAUGGGCCAAACUUGGCUUGAGCAAAGGCUUUGGAAGAAUGGGCAAGCCUAUGAAUAUUUUCAAGUGUACAAUCGACAUGGAGGGAGUCCAUAGAGGAGGUGAAUAAAUGCUCUCAAAGAGUGAUUGGUGGUGGGGAUAAGCAAUGUGUGUCGUCUUCCUUGUAUCAACAUCAAUUAUUCAACUUGGUAGCCUUGUGAACAGGUAUCAUUCGCUCAUGUUUAAUAACAGUAGCUAUAUAUCAUGAUAAGACAAAAUCUGAUUGGGACAAAUGGACAAACAGUGAGUGAUGCAUACCUGAAAGCAUUCCUAUGCUUGUAAGAGUACUGAGAAUUGUUUUCCUUAUCCUUGUUCUGUUCUUAAAAAUAGAUCAAACUAAAAGUUUCAUCUGCCAUGGAUAUCACAGCACAGUAAUCCUUGAUGCCACAUGCACUAGAAGGCAGGGAUUGGUCCAAUGCCACUCCGUUACAAAGUCGCUGUAUCUUGCACCUGGAAAUUCACACUGGGAAUUACUCAUCCCUUUUCCAGCUGGUGCAAAUUUAUGUAUCAGCAUGCACUUAAUUGUCUCGCUAGGGAAGUUAGUCGACUGGAACAAGUUCCACUGACAUCACCAAAUUUGGAUUUAUUUUCAUAGCUGUUCUGUCAUUAUCAUAUCAAUUUGAAUUUGGUGGCGAAGUUGAUGCAUAAUUUUCUUUCCUGAGUAAUAUACAGAAGAUUCAUUACGCCUCACCGUAAAUUUUCUCAACCAGUUACUGAGAUAGUCAAGUACAGAGCAGUGCAUAUGAUUUUGCUCAAAACUGAAUUUUCAUCUGUGCGAAAUGAACUCAUGAUUACCAUAGUUUUAGGAUAUUGAUUAGAGCAAUUGUUCCUAUUCUUAUGUACAAUAACUGCCCUGUAAAAAUCUUGGGGUUUAUACUGCAAAAGAGCACUUGCAUGUUCA
This is an RNA transcript of Musa acuminata AAA Group (dessert banana), 2141 nucleotides long. RefSeq lists it as uncharacterized. NCBI's taxonomy places the organism in Eukaryota, Viridiplantae, Streptophyta, Magnoliopsida, Zingiberales, Musaceae. The transcript has 13 exons. The record is from RefSeq and is a predicted model, not a curated record.